GGGGCCGUAGCCAAGUGGUAAGGCAAGGGACUGCAACUCCCCGAUCGGUGGUUCAAAUCCGCUCGGCCCCUCCA
RNAcentral lists this transfer RNA (74 nucleotides) under Bacilli bacterium. RNAcentral describes it as "tRNA-Cys". It matches the Rfam family "tRNA". Rfam says of the family: Transfer RNA (tRNA) molecules are approximately 80 nucleotides in length. Their secondary structure includes four short double-helical elements and three loops (D, anti-codon, and T loops). The record is from RNAcentral. Lineage: Bacteria; Bacillati; Bacillota; Bacilli.